RNAcentral lists this transfer-messenger RNA (360 nucleotides) under Kofleriaceae. RNAcentral's name for it is "JABFXX01 sp005887925 Standard tmRNA". It matches the Rfam family "transfer-messenger RNA". From Rfam's summary of the family: Bacterial tmRNA, also known as 10Sa RNA or SsrA, is named for its dual tRNA and mRNA-like properties. RNAcentral also lists the same sequence under 2 other names. Lineage: Bacteria; Pseudomonadati; Myxococcota; Haliangiales. The record is from RNAcentral.
GGGGGCGUACCGGUUUCGACGAGGAUGGCGACGCUCGGGUCGCGCGUCGUGGCGCCCCAGGCCACGUAAAAAGGGGCAAACCAUGCAACUGCGAAUGAUAACGCCGUUGCCCUCGCUGCCUGAUCAAAACUCAGGUAACGACGGUGCCUGCAGCUUCCGUCUGUAGCUUCAGAGCACCGACACAAUCAGGCUGGGCCUCCUGACCCGCCAGCACAAGGAGGCCGAGACAUCGCUGGCUCGUCGCGCUCGCAGGUCGGCCGCCGCUUGCGAGCGCGAGACACUCUACCGGCGUGCCUACACGCGUAGAAGCUCGUCCUGAUCCAUCUUCGGACGCGGGUUCGACUCCCGCCGCCUCCACCA